Molecule: ribosomal RNA, 398 nt
Filed under: uncultured bacterium
Lineage: Bacteria
Description: bacterial SSU rRNA
Rfam family: Bacterial small subunit ribosomal RNA
Source: RNAcentral
GAUGAACGCUAGCUACAGGCUUAACACAUGCAAGUCGAGGGGCAGCAUGAACUUAGCUUGCUAAGUUUGAUGGCGACCGGCGCACGGGUGAGUAACGCGUAUCCAACCUUCCGUUUACUCAGGGAUAGCCUUUCGAAAGAAAGAUUAAUACCUGAUGGUAUGGUAAGAUUGCAUGAUAAUACCAUUAAAGAUUUAUCGGUAAACGAUGGGGAUGCGUUCCAUUAGGUAGUAGGCGGGGUAACGGCCCACCUAGCCAACGAUGGAUAGGGGUUCUGAGAGGAAGGUCCCCCACAUUGGAACUGAGACACGGUCCAAACUCCUACGGGAGGCAGCAGUGAGGAAUAUUGGUCGAAUAGGGCGGAGAGCCUGAACCAACGCCAACGUUAAGCGUGAAGGAA